GAGUGCCCCAAGCGUUAUCCGGAUUUAUUGGGGCGUAAAGGGGUCCGUAGGCGGUCUAUCGCAUCUCCUGGUUAAAUCUCGAAGCUCAACUUCGAGACCGCGGGAGAGAUGGAUAGACUAGAGGCCGGGAGAGGCAAGUGGAAUUGCUGGUGUAGGGGUUAAAUCCGUUAAUAUCAGCAGGAACACCAAAUGCGAAGGCAGCUUGCUGGAACGGUCCUGACGCUAAGGGACGAAAGCGUGGGUAGCGAAUGGGAUUAGAUACCCCAGUAGUCCACGCCGUAAACGAUGGAUGCUAAGCAUUGGCAGUAUCGACCCUGUCAGUGCUGUUUACUUAAGCUAACGCCUUAAGCAUCCCGCCUGGGGAGUACGAGCGCAAGCUUA
Molecule: ribosomal RNA, 381 nt
Filed under: uncultured organism
Description: partial 16S ribosomal RNA
Rfam family: Bacterial small subunit ribosomal RNA
Source: RNAcentral